CCAAUAGCGUAUAUUAAAGUUGUUGCAGUUAAAAAGCUCGUAGUUGAAUUUCGGGGUUAGUAGGCUGGUCAUGCCUCUGGUAUGUACUGGUCUCACUGAUUCCUCCUUCCUGAUGAACCGUAAUGCCAUUAAUUUGGUGUUGCGGGGAAUUUGGACUGUUACUUUGAAAAAAUUAGAGUGUUUAAAGCAAGCUAACGCUUGAAUACAUUAGCAUGGAAUAAUGAAAUAGGACGUUCGAUCCUAUUUUGUUGGUUUCUAGGAUUGACGUAAUGAUUAAUAGGGAUAGUUGGGGGCAUUAGUAUUCAAUUGUCAGAGGUGAAAUUCUUGGAUUUAUUGAAGACUAACUACUGCGAAAGCAUUUGCCAAGGAUGUUUUCAUUAAUCAAGAACGAAAGUUAGGGGAUCGAAGACGAUCAGAUACCGUCGUAGUCUUAACCAUAAACUAUGCCGACUAGGGAUCGGAUGAUGUUGAUUUUUUAAUGACUCAUUCGGCACCUUACG
This 500-nucleotide ribosomal RNA is filed under the name uncultured Glomeromycotina. RNAcentral's name for it is "partial small subunit ribosomal RNA". It matches the Rfam family "Eukaryotic small subunit ribosomal RNA", at positions 591 to 1092 of the family's 1831-position model. The record is from RNAcentral. Lineage: Eukaryota; Fungi; Glomeromycota.